RNAcentral lists this ribosomal RNA (793 nucleotides) under uncultured archaeon. Its description in RNAcentral is "bacterial SSU rRNA". It matches the Rfam family "Archaeal small subunit ribosomal RNA", at positions 85 to 879 of the family's 1478-position model. The record is from RNAcentral.
ACUGCUCAGUAACACGUGGACAACCUGCCCUUAGGACGGGGAUAAACCCGGGAAACUGGGUAUAAUACCCGAUAGGUCUCGAUUGCUGGAAUGCAUCGAGAUUUAAAGCUCCGGCGCCUAAGGAUGGGUCUGCGGCCUAUCAGGUAGUAGUGGGUGUAGCGUACCUACUAGCCUACGACGGGUACGGGUUGUGAGAGCAAGAGCCCGGAGAUGGAUUCUGAGACACGAAUCCAGGCCCUACGGGGUGCAGCAGGCGCGAAAACUUUACAAUGCUGGCAACAGCGAUAAGGGAACCUCGAGUGCCAGGUUACAAAUCUGGCUGUCGGGAUGCCUAAAAAGCAUUUCAUAGCAAGGGCCGGGCAAGACCGGUGCCAGCCGCCGCGGUAGCACCGGCGGCUCGAGUGGUAACCGUUAUUAUUGGGUCUAAAGGGUCUGUAGCCGGCCGGAUAAGUCUCUUGAGAAAUCUGGCAGCUUAACUGUCAGGCUUUCAGGAGAUACUGUCUGGCUCGAGGCCGGGAGAGGUGAGAGGUACUUCAGGGGUAGGGGUGAAAUCUUGUAAUCCUUGAAGGACCACCAGUGGCGAAGGCGUCUCACCAGAACGGACCUGACGGCAAGGGACGAAAGCUAGGGGCACGAACCGGAUUAGAUACCCGGGUAGUCCUAGCCGUAAACGAUACUCGCUAGGUGUCGGCCACGGUGCGACCGUUGUCGGUGCCGUAGGGAAGCCGUGAAGCGAGCCACCCGGGAAGUACGGCCGCAAGGCUGAAACUUAAAGGAAUUGGCGGGGGAGCAC